AACGAACGCUGGCGGCAUGCCUAACACAUGCAAGUCGAACGAGGCCUUCGGGUCUAGUGGCGCACGGGUGCGUAACGCGUGAGAACCUGCCCUUAGGUUCGGAAUCACUCCCCGAAAGGGGUGCAAAUACCGGAAAAUGUCUUCGGACCAAAGAUUUAUCGCCUUUGGGUGGGCCCGCGUUGGAUUAGCUAGUUGGUAGGGUAAAAGCCUACCAAGGCGACGAUACAUAGCUGGUCUGAGAGGAGGAUCAGCCACACUGGGACUGAGACACGGCCCAGACUCCUACGGGAGGCAGCCGUGGGGAAUAUGGGACAAGGGGCGAAAGCCUGAGCCAGCAAGGCCGCGUGAGUGAUGAAGGCCUUAGGGUUGUAAAGCUCGUUUACCCGGGAUGAUAAUGACAGUACCGGGAGAAUAAGCGCCGGCUAACUCCGUG
RNAcentral lists this ribosomal RNA (433 nucleotides) under uncultured bacterium. Its description in RNAcentral is "partial 16S ribosomal RNA". It matches the Rfam family "Bacterial small subunit ribosomal RNA", at positions 29 to 507 of the family's 1533-position model. The record is from RNAcentral.